This 496-nucleotide ribosomal RNA is filed under the name uncultured bacterium. Its description in RNAcentral is "partial 16S ribosomal RNA". It matches the Rfam family "Bacterial small subunit ribosomal RNA", at positions 30 to 523 of the family's 1533-position model. The record is from RNAcentral.
AUUGAACGCUGGCGGAAUGCUUUACACAUGCAAGUCGAAUGGUAGAGGGGGCAACCCCUCGAGAGUGGCGAACGGGUGAGUAAUAUAUCGGAACGUGCCCAGUCGUGGGGGAUAACGUAGCGAAAGUUACGCUAAUACCGCAUACGAUCUAAGGAUGAAAGCGGGGGAUCGCAAGACCUCGCGCGAUUGGAGCGGCCGAUAUCAGAUUAGGUAGUUGGUGGGGUAAAGGCCCACCAAGCCAAGGAUCUGUAGCUGGUCUGAGAGGACAACCAGCCACACUGGAACUGAGACACGGUCCAGACUCCUACGGGAGGCAGCAGUGGGGAAUUUUGGACAAUGGGCGAAAGCCUGAUCCAGCCAUUCCGCGUGCAGGAUGAAGGCCCUCGGGUUGUAAACUGCUUUUGUACAGAACGGAAAGGUUUCUACUAAUACUAGGAGCUCAUGACGGUACUGUAAGAAUAAGCACCGGCUAACUACGUGCCAGCAGCCGCAGUAA